GCUUAGCAUAUAUUAUUGAUGUUGCAGUUAAAACGUUCGUAGUCGACUCCUAUUUACUAAUAUAUGCAAAACUAUGGUUUUGUCAUAUUGUCAGUAAAUGCAAUAUAGGUACAAUAUGUGUUUCAUAUAUUGUGACUUAUAUCUUACUUUGAGUGAAUCGGCGUGUUCCACGCAGGCAUAAGCCGUGAACGAUUUACCAUAGAAUAAAUAUACUAUAACAAUAUUUUUAUGUCUGUUCGGAAAUAUUGUUUAUAAUAAUAAGAACGGUUGAGGGCAUUCAUAUUCAACUGCUAGAGGUGAAAUUCUUUGAUUAGUUGAGGAUGAACAAUGGCGAAAGCAUCUGCCAAGGACGUUUCUGUUG
RNAcentral lists this ribosomal RNA (361 nucleotides) under uncultured eukaryote. RNAcentral's name for it is "partial 18S ribosomal RNA". It matches the Rfam family "Eukaryotic small subunit ribosomal RNA", at positions 592 to 975 of the family's 1831-position model. The record is from RNAcentral.